This is a long non-coding RNA of Sorghum bicolor (sorghum), 1691 nucleotides long. RefSeq lists it as uncharacterized. The record is from RefSeq and is a predicted model, not a curated record. Lineage: Eukaryota; Viridiplantae; Streptophyta; Magnoliopsida; Poales; Poaceae. The transcript has 4 exons.
UUUGUCGUGCGACAUUUGGUUUCGUCCUGCCCCCGCCGUACGUCCGCGCCUCCGCAGCGUUCGUACUUGGAAACAUCCGUCAUCCCCUCCCCGAUCCCCUCCCCCUUUCCUAUCUUGUCCGCGCGCAGUCGAUCCGCUCCGCAGCAACCGAGCUCAGUCGAUCCGCGCCUUGCCUCGGCAAGACAUUCCGCCGAGCGCCGUCCGCCCUGAGACCGAGCGUCGAACGCAGUCGAUCCGCGCCUCGGCAAGACCUGCCGUCGAGCACCGUCCGCCGUCAGAUCUGGCGCCGAGCGCAGUCGAUCCGCCGCGCCUCGGCGGCCGAGAGUCCGUCGCGAGACCGGGCGCCGAGCGCAGUCGAUCUGUGCCUCGCCUCGACGAGAGCGUCCGCCGCGCGCCGGUCGCCGUCCGCCACGAGACCCGAGCGCAGUCGAUCCACGGAGCGGAGCUUGUGGUGGCUUCGGCGUCCUCCCGCGGAUGGAGAUCCAUAACCUUCUCCAUGCGGCGUGGCCUCGUGGACUUGGCGUGGCGUGGACGGAGCUCAGCGACUUUCUCCGCUCGGCGCAGCGCGGCGCGGACGGAGCUUAGCGACACGAGACAGGCGUGGGUGGUGCGAAAUCAAGGGAGUCGAAUCCAGCCAGCCCAGGUGUAUUGUACAUCGCCGCCGUCGAAUGUCGUCCUCGAUUAAGUGGAGGAUCGUGCAGCUUCCUGAUGCUCCUUGCCUCCUUGAUAGCAGCGGCUUCCUCAGCUCCGGUCGGCAAGUAGGCACACAAAAAUGGCCCACAACUGUCUUCUUGGAAUAGUCAGAUUUGACUGGCCGGGCUCGCUGGAUUCGAGUGGCGAGUCUCGAUUUAGUGUGGUUGGAGGGUGUGAUUGAGGGGUUUUCAUUUUUGGAGAAGAUUCAGGAUUGGAGCUACCUCUAGACAAAAAUGCUCUGAUUAGAUUUAGGAGGGCUUGCAUCUGCUGUCAUUGCUGAGCAUCUCCAGUAAAGACUGGAAUUUUUUCGCCGUGUCAACCUUUAACCGUAUUUCAUGAUAAAAAAUAUCAUCAAACUCCAGUCUUACUAAAUCCCUACAUGAGAGAACAAUUUUCUUUGGCCUUCAACUUUGGGUUGUGAUUGGGAUUGCUGUUGGAGCGCCUCGUUUGGGUAUUCUUCUCAUUCGUCUCAUAUGCCUUAUCAUUCAAAGUUGUAUCAAGAGAUCACGCAAGGCACUCAAUGACUGUUGAAUGGCCCAGAUACCUCCACCGUAUAAAGAUAUCAAGGAAGUGGGGAUGGUGGACAAAUUUCCAGCCAAUGAUUUUUGUUGUACUGGAUGGGCUUUUACUCCAUAUUCAGUAAGAGCCUGAGCCUGUUGAAACUUAACAAAUAUGCAGUUUAGUUGGCUCAGCAGGUUGAAACAAAGAGAAGAAACAAUGUCUUUGUUUUUUUUUUUUGCAUUAUGGAUGGCUGUGAGGAACUCAGAUUAUCUUGGUUGGGGCCAUUGGUUCACUCUCACAAAUCUAGAGCUUGCAACCAACUGUUUUGCAAAAGAUAAUGUACUUUGUGUGGGUGGAUAUGGUGUUGUGUAUCAUGGAAGGUUAUCAAAUGGCACCUCGGAGUCUGUCAUGAAAAUCCUUUUUUUUAUUGGGUAAUCUAUCAUGAAAAUCAUUAACAACUAUGUUUAGGGUACUCAAAGGUAAGUACAGUUCUCUCA